UGGGCCAUAUGUCCAUUUUUCGUCUUGUUCCCAAAUCGGAAACAUAAUCCCAGCCGUCAGUCCUCAGGGAACUGCUAAAUAUGGAAUACAACAUCUCAUUCUUUCCUCAUAUGCCCAGAUCUCAGCUUUUCUUGUGUCAGAAAUUACAUUUCGAAGAUGGGAUGAAUUUCCUUAUACAGGGGCAGCAGAUUUAUGCUUCCAUUCAUUUGCAGAAUGUUAAUCAUCAAGGCACAUUGUGUAAAUUCAAAACUUUUGUAAGAUGGUUUCUUGCCACAUAGAACCGGAAUUAAUGACGCUUGAAUAAGCACUGACAAUUUAGAACUUUCAGGUUUGAGAUGUACUAUCAAGCCACCUUAAAGUGAUGGCUUCUGCUGUGAAUUGCCAGCUUCCAAUUUACCUUUCGUCUUUUGGCUUAGCACUGAUGAAGCAAAUGUGCAGAAAUUACUCUUUGUUGGUGGGAAACAGAAUAUUAGUCUCUUCAAAGUUCAAAGGGUUCGGGAUCAGCAAAAGGGUUUUAGCUUGGCAUUUAGAAUUCCUGAGAUGAGAGGAAGCUGCAAUAUCAAAGCUUUAUGAUCGAUAUCAUGAUCAUAUGAGCAUUGCUCUGUAAAAAGCUUUGGUGGGGGGAAUUCAAGGUCUGGGCCUUUCUAAGACUAUAAAU
Prunus dulcis (almond) is the source of this 658-nucleotide long non-coding RNA. RefSeq lists it as uncharacterized. The record is from RefSeq and is a predicted model, not a curated record. The transcript has 5 exons. NCBI's taxonomy places the organism in Eukaryota, Viridiplantae, Streptophyta, Magnoliopsida, Rosales, Rosaceae.